This 465-nucleotide ribosomal RNA is filed under the name uncultured bacterium. RNAcentral describes it as "partial 16S ribosomal RNA". It matches the Rfam family "Bacterial small subunit ribosomal RNA", at positions 28 to 507 of the family's 1533-position model. The record is from RNAcentral.
GAUGAACGCUGGCGGCGUGCUUAACACAUGCAAGUCGAACGGAAAGGCUCCUGCUUGCAGGGGUACUCGAGUGGCGAACGGGUGAGUAACACGUGGGUGAUCUGCCCUGCACUUCGGGAUAAGCCUGGGAAACUGGGUCUAAUACCGGAUAGGACGAUGGUUUGGAUGCCAUUGUGGAAAGUUUUUCGGUGUGGGAUGAGCUCGCGGCCUAUCAGCUUGUUGGUGGGGUAAUGGCCUACCAAGGCGUCGACGGGUAGCCGGCCUGAGAGGGUAUACGGCCACAUUGGGACUGAGAUACGGCCCAGACUCCUACGGGAGGCAGCAGUGGGGAAUAUUGCACAAUGGGCGCAAGCCUGAUGCAGCGACGCCGCGUGGGGGAUGACGGCCUUCGGGUUGUAAACUCCUUUCGCUAGGGACGAAGCGCAAGUGACGGUACCUGGAGAAGAAGCACCGGCUAACUACGUG